Molecule: ribosomal RNA, 440 nt
Filed under: uncultured bacterium
Lineage: Bacteria
Description: bacterial SSU rRNA
Rfam family: Bacterial small subunit ribosomal RNA
Source: RNAcentral
GAUGAACGCUGGCGGUAUGCCUAACACAUGCAAGUCGUACGAGAGUUUUUAACUCUAGUGGCGGACGGGUGAGUAACACGUGAGAAUUUGCCUUUAGGAGGGGGACAACAAUCGGAAACGAAUGCUAAUACCCCAUAUGCUUUCGAGUGAAAUGGAUUUUAUCCGCCUAGAGAGAAGCUCGCGGCUGAUUAGCUUGUUGGUAAGGUAAGAGCUUACCAAGGCGACGAUCAGUAUCUGGUUUGAGAGGACGAUCAGACACACUGGAACUGAGACACGGUCCAGACUCCUACGGGAGGCAGCAGUGGGGAAUUUUCCGCAAUGGGCGAAAGCCUGACGGAGCAAUACCGCGUGAGGGAAGACUGCCUAUGGGUUGUAAACCUCUUUUUCUAGGGAGGAAUAAAUGACGUGUACCUGAAGAAUAAGCAUCGGCUAACUCCGUG